AAAUUGAAGAGUUUGAUCAUGGCUCAGAUUGAACGCUGGCGGCAGGCCUAACACAUGCAAGUCGAACGGUAACAGGAAGCAGCUUGCUGCUUUGCUGACGAGUGGCGGACGGGUGAGUAAUGUCUGGGAAACUGCCUGAUGGAGGGGGAUAACUACUGGAAACGGUAGCUAAUACCGCAUAACGUCGCAAGACCAAAGAGGGGGCCCUUCGGGCCUCUUGCCAUCGGAUGUGCCCAGAUGGGAUUAGCUUGUUGGUGGGGUAACGGCUCACCAAGGCGACGAUCCCUAGCUGGUCUGAGAGGAUGACCAGCCACACUGGAACUGAGACACGGUCCAGACUCCUACGGGAGGCAGCAGUGGGGAAUAUUGCACAAUGGGCGCAAGCCUGAUGCAGCCAUGCCGCGUGUAUGAAGAAGGCCUUCGGGUUGUAAAGUACUUUCAGCGGGGAGGAAGGGAGUAAAGUUAAUACCUUU
Molecule: ribosomal RNA, 473 nt
Filed under: Escherichia coli
Lineage: Bacteria; Pseudomonadati; Pseudomonadota; Gammaproteobacteria; Enterobacterales; Enterobacteriaceae
Description: bacterial SSU rRNA
Rfam family: Bacterial small subunit ribosomal RNA
Source: RNAcentral